RNAcentral lists this ribosomal RNA (467 nucleotides) under uncultured bacterium. RNAcentral's name for it is "partial 16S ribosomal RNA". It matches the Rfam family "Bacterial small subunit ribosomal RNA", at positions 339 to 795 of the family's 1533-position model. The record is from RNAcentral.
CUACGGGGGGCUGCAGUGGGGAAUAUUGGACAAUGGGGGAAACCCUGAUCCAGCAAUGCCGCGUGUGUGAAGAAGGCCUGCGGGUUGUAAAGCACUUUCGGUUGGGAGGACUGCUUCUAGCACUAAUAUUGUUGGAAGUUGACGUUACCUUCAGAAGAAGCACCGGCUAACUCCGUGCCAGCAGCCGCGGGUAAUACGGAGGGUGCAAGCGUGUAAUCGGAAUUACUGGGCGUAAAGCGCGCGUAGGCGGCUAGAUCAGUCGGGUGUGAAAGCCCCGGGCUUAACCUGGGAACUGCAUCCGAUACUGUCUAGCUUGAGUGCAGGAGAGGAGAGUGGAAUUCCACAUGUAGCGGUGAAAUGCGUAGAUAUGUGGAGGAACACCAAUGGCGAAGGCAGCUCUCUGGCCUGAUACUGACGCUGAGGUGCGAAAGCGUGGGGAGCAAACAGGAUUAGAUACCCCCGUAGUC